CAAUAAAACUUAACCAAGUGCUUAGUUGCAUUAAAAUUGCAUGCAUAUGAUGGAUGCUCGCGAUCAAAGCAAUAUCAGUGCGCUUAGAUCGACCAACAAAAAAACAAAAGACCUGGCACAGAUCGAGACCGCACUAUGCCAAUCCCCCCCCCCUCCCCCGGGGCUUCUCGCUAACUCUCUGCUCUUUCCGGCCUUCUCUUCUAUGGCCACCACGACCACCUCUCUUGCAUCACUGUAUAAUCAUUUCAUCCUUUACCUGUCUCUCUUGAAGCUUCUCAGGCUGGAUCUGGCAUUGCUGGCGUACCCGAACAUCAACCAUUGUCUCUUUUUUAUUUCCUGCACUUUCACUCAUAUAUGCACUCUCUCUUUGCCUAAUUUCUUUUGUCAAAUUUAUACGCAGGUUGCAAUUUUUUCAACCUUAGGGUUUCGAAUUUGGGGCUUGUGCAGCAGCCUAUCAAAUUUGUUUCCCUCGUUACAAAAUUGGAGUUUAUCUUGACACGCAUACAGACUUUCCUUGACGAGUUCAGUCACUGUGAUUUGAAUCUAGAUUCGGUAUAGAUUUGAAUCCAUGUAGCUUAUUUUUGUUUCUGGUUUGCUAUAUGGCUAAGAUUUUAUCUUUUAAUUUUAUUCUUCUGGGCAUGAAAGAGGCAUAUUGGUGAGAUAAUGUUUUUAACGUUAUUUUUGCAUGCCAGUGAUUAGUUGUAAAUGUAAUAGCAUAUAUGCUUGGUACGUUUUGUUGAAUUGUGAUGUAUGCCGCUAUUUUCCUCUUCCAGAUAUGCUUGGUAUGUUUUGUUUUCUCUAUUAUGUUGGUUUACUGGAAUUAUUGUUGGUUGGAAUUAUGGAUGAGGACUUAGAAAUAGUAAUUGAUAAUGCUUCUUGUGGAUGUUCUUUGAUUUUGCAAGUUUUAACUUCUCAUUACAUUAAUUUAUUUUAUGUGCUAUUUUACUUUGAUUCUUUAUACAUAUAUGCUUAUGUGUAACUAAUUUGGUCAUGAUCUGCCAUGUUUCUUUUGCAAAACAGUGUAUGAUGUGAGUUUGAGUGAUGAGAGCUGACCUCAAGAUCUCUUUGAUUUUGUCAGCGGCAAGUGCUUUCAAGUCAUGGGAAAGGCUUGAUGCCAACUGUUUAAUAUGACUCUUGCUGCUUUGUAUGGUUUCUACUUUCCACUUCUUCUGUUUAUUAUUUACUAAUUCUGCAUACUAGUUUCCAGAGGUGGCAUUAUAUCCCACUCAUUUGAAUUGGGGGCCAAGAUGAAAGGACUGUUUAGUGGUGCAACAGCUGUUAUUACAUUUCUCUUUCCCUCAAAGGCUGCUUUGCAAGUUGAAUAUAAUGUCCAAAUUCCUUAUAUAAUGCAAGCUUUUCUUGUUUCCUUUAGGAGGCAUAUUCUGUGCCUUUUCCCUUUACUCUUGUUCUUUCUUAGUAGGAGCCCUCCAUUUAACGCAAUGACUUGUACUUUUUCCACAGCAGAGUGUUGAUGCUUUUAUCAACUGUGUUGUGAAAAACAGAGGAUUCAACUAGGGAAAGCACGUUGCCUGUUUGAUCAGAAUGUGGAAGGACCAGUCACAUAUACAAUUGUUAUACUUUUGAUGAGAAUACUCCACUUGUUGAUGAUCCAGAGUACGUCUCUGCAUUGGGUGAAACAGUAUUCAAGGGACUGCAAAGCGGAGAUAAGGAUGGGGUCUGGUUAAUGCAGGAGAGAGAUCUUUUUGCAGUUCAGUGAUGGACCAAGAGAGAUGAUAUAUUGUUCUUAUUUCAGAUGAAAGAAGAGUGAAAGGAGUCUCUUGUAGAGUUGUUUACAAUAAUUUGUAUUUACAGAUUUAAAUA
This is a long non-coding RNA of Rosa chinensis, 1821 nucleotides long. RefSeq lists it as uncharacterized. The record is from RefSeq and is a predicted model, not a curated record. NCBI's taxonomy places the organism in Eukaryota, Viridiplantae, Streptophyta, Magnoliopsida, Rosales, Rosaceae. The transcript has 3 exons.